CCUACGUGAGGCAGCAGUGGGGAAUAUUGGACAAUGGGGGCAACCCUGAUCCAGCCAUGCCGCGUGGGUGAAGAAGGCCCUCGGGUUGUAAAGCACUUUCAGUGAGGAAGAACGCCUGGUGGUUAAUACCCAUCAGGAAAGACAUCACUCACAGAAGAAGCACCGGCUAACUCCGUGCCAGCAGCCGCGGUAAUACGGAGGGUGCGAGCGUUAAUCGGAAUUACUGGGCGUAAAGCGCGCGUAGGUGGCUUGAUAAGCCGGUUGUGAAAGCCCCGGGCUCAACCUGGGAACGGCAUCCGGAACUGUCAAGCUAGAGUGCAGGAGAGGAAGGUAGAAUUCCCGGUGUAGCGGUGAAAUGCGUAGAGAUCGGGAGGAAUACCAGUGGCGAAGGCGGCCUUCUGGACUGACACUGACACUGAGGUGCGAAAGCGUGGGUAGCAAACAGGAUUAGAUACCCUAGUAGUC
RNAcentral lists this ribosomal RNA (465 nucleotides) under Vreelandella stevensii. Its description in RNAcentral is "partial 16S ribosomal RNA". It matches the Rfam family "Bacterial small subunit ribosomal RNA", at positions 338 to 795 of the family's 1533-position model. The record is from RNAcentral. Lineage: Bacteria; Pseudomonadati; Pseudomonadota; Gammaproteobacteria; Oceanospirillales; Halomonadaceae.